RNAcentral lists this long non-coding RNA (5786 nucleotides) under Sus scrofa (pig). Its description in RNAcentral is "lncRNA (ENSSSCG00000061986.1)". The record is from RNAcentral. Lineage: Eukaryota; Metazoa; Chordata; Mammalia; Artiodactyla; Suidae.
AAAGAAGUAAGUUUGUUCUGACCUAAUGUAAUCCUCAUGAGGUUAUUCUGGCUUCAAGUGAUAAUCUGUUGCAAUUCUAAUGUCUCACGAUCUUUUAAUAGUUUGUUCUAGAUUCUUGUCCAAAUCUAUGCCAAGUUUACUGACACUGUACACUGCCCAAGCCCUUUAAUUUCCAUUUCUAUUCAUUGGCACUGCACAUCAACAUUCCUGGAGAGCCGUUGCUGGUAAUAAAAUGAUUUUUUCCUACAGUAUUUCCAUUCCCUUGGGCCAGGUUGGAAGAUCUGCCUUUUAGAACAUUUAGAGGGUUCUUGCCACAAACUCACUGAUUUGAGUUUCAGAUUUCUCCUACCUGCAUUUUUUUUUUUAACGCUAUGCAGUCUGGUGAUACUCCUCUUAAUAUUUACUUCCUUUCCUUUCCAUUCAGAAUCUUUUUGUUUUGAGAAGCUUGGAAGCUUCUUCAGUAAAGAAUUAUGAAUUAGUUAGGGUUCUUUUGGAUGCCAGUAACAAAAAAUCCAAUCCAAGGGAGUUUAUUGGGAAACAACUGAACAGUCUAGGAACAAUAUGCCUCAGACAUUAUUGGCAAGAGGGAUUCAAACACUUUCUUCCGGACCUAGCUUCUCUUUCCCUGUAUGGAUGCUUGUUACCUUUUAAAAUUUACUCCAUUUGCAGACAUUUGCCAUCCCAUGUAGUCAAGUCUGAGGUAGCUUUGGAAUGUAGAUAUUCUCUAGUCCAGUGGGAAGAGGCCCCUGGCUUCCUGGCAACCUCAGAAAAUAGUUCCUGGUGUCUCUUUGACUCGGCUGAGAUCACAUGCUCAUCCCUGAACUAAUGCCUGAGACCAGGGAAAUUUGAGGUUCUGUUCACUGUGCUUGACUGUCUGCUAUCCCUGAUAUAGGAUCCAAGUCCAAAAGAAUCAGGUGGAAUGUAAAUCAAGACCAAGUUCCCUUGCAAUACUAUCUCUCUAAAUUGAUGUAGUAAACCAGAGAAGCAAUGUAUAAUUGUCAUUGAACAAAAGAUUUAUUUUCCUGAUUAUAAUCUCUCUCAACAGCAUGUAUGCACACAUAUGCAUACACAUGUGAGUGUGCCGGAUACCCAAUAGCUUUUUUUGCUCUUCUGAAUUCCUUGUGUAUCUGUUUAUCCCUUUUGCUGUUAAUUGGACAUUUGCAAACAAAGAAUGUCAUUGUUCUCCACUUUAAAGUGGUAAUUAGCAGUUAAGUAUAAAAACAUGAAUAUAUUUACCUCUGCUCUCUCUCCAAACUGCCCUAAACCUACUGUAAUGUAAUAAAUACACAAGACAAAGAGAGCAGGAGUAGAGACAACUGAAGACUAGAGAUGUAAAUUGUAUUUUGGAAUUUGGAAAUUUUAUAGACAAGCAAAAUGGAGAAAACCAAUGUCUCGUACUCUGUAGUGAGAGAAGACAUUAGGAAAAAAAUUAAUUUGCACUGGAGAACUCCAGAAUCUGGAAAUGAAGAUACCACACACAUCAAAAAGAUUCAGUGUGAAAUGGGGCUGAAAAUGAUAUAGUGUUUGACAGUCUAUGUUUGAAGUCUUAGACUACUCAUGCUUCUUCUCUUGUGCCUGCAUCAGACAGAUAGGAGUUGUAUUCUAUAUAGAGAAAUGGACUCUGACCUUUGGAGUCCCAAGCACAGUGGAUGCUGAGAUGAGGUACUGGAUUGAAAAUAUUAAAAUUAAUUCUUCCUACUGAAUUUUGAGAUUCAGCUUCCUUUCCAACUUAGCCUUAAAAUGCUGGUAGCCAAGCUUGUAAUACCAGAUAGGGGACUAGAUUUACGUAUUCUCUGGGGAAACUUAGCGGUGCAAGAGAAAAGAGUUAUGUAUAUUGGCAUUUGAGAAUCUUUUAAUAAAUCUUAAAAAUCUUGCCCAUGCAUUUAGAACUUAGAAUCAACAUUUUAGAACCUUAGAAUAUGGAUGGUGAGUUAAGGAGCACAGAUAGAUGAGGAACACUGGUAACAUAAAUGGCAAGAUCAAAACAUAGAAAAAGAGAACAGUAACAUAAAGAAAACAGACAGUUCAGAGUACCAAAGACUAAGAGUAAGAUCUCUCAGAACUGGAGGAUAUGGGAUCCAGAUUAAGAGCUGACUAAAUGUCCAGGACAAUUAAUUAUAAUAAUAAUAACAACAAUAAAUAGACUCAUCUCUACAUUGGUACUCACACAGGAUAGUGAAUAGUGCCUGUUCCCAUCAGCCAUGCUGGAAAAUUGUAUGACUUUCAAGAGAUUUGGCAUAAUACAGGAGAUCUUGCCUCAGUAUUCAGUCCCUGACUAAGAAGUACUCAGAUCUUGCAGAAUAAAUCUUAUAAUCAAGAAAGGAUCAAACUGUUUCCAAAUAAUGAAACUACAUUUAAGAACAAAGCUCAAGAAUAUUUAUAAAAAUAUAAAAAUAUCCAGAACUCAAUAAGGUACAAUUCAUGUCCGGCAUCUAAUCAAAAAUUAAACAUCAAACAAAGAAUUAGGAAAAUAUGACCCAUGAUAGCUCAUUGUGGAGAAAAUAAGUCAAUUGAAAUUGACCCAGAAUUGAUGCGGACAUUCAAAUUGGCAGAGAAAAACAUUGAAUCAUUAUAAUUAUAUUCUGCAUGUUCAAAAGUUAAGUAGAGCCCUGGAAAAUUUUAAAAAUUCUAAAUCAAAAUUUUAGAGAUGAAAAGUACAAAGUCUAAGAUAGAAAUGAUACUGUGGAAUACAUAGCAGAGGACAAAAUUAGCCAAACUGAAUAAGUAAUACUAGAAAAUAUACAAAAUGAAAAAUAUAGGAAAAGAUAAUUAAAUGAAAAUAGAAACAGUAAGCUAUGGGACAACUUCAAACAGUCAAUUGGAGCCUCUGAAGCUCUGGAGGGAAGGUGACAGAAAGGAUACAUGAAAAAAUGAUGAGAAGUGUUCUUAAUUUCAUAAAAACAGUAAUCUUGGAUAUCUAAGAAUCUCAAUGAAUUCCAAGCAUAGAAAACACGAAGAAAACUAUAGCAAGACAAAUUUUAACCAAAUUAAUUAAAAACCAGUGAGAAAGGAAAAUUGUUAAAAGCAGACAGGGAAGGAACCCACAUAUAGGAAAUAAAUAAGAAUGAGAAAAGAUUUAUUGUCAAAAAUAAUGCAAUGAUAAGCCAAUGGAGAAAUAUCUUUAAAUUACUGAAUGUAAAAAAAAAAUAAGUAAAUGAAUAAAUUACUGAAAGAAAACAAAACAAAACAACACAAAACUAUUAAUGUAGAAUUUUAUACCCAGUAAAAAUAUCUUUCAACAAAAAGGCAAAAUAAAGUUUUGGCAGAAAUACCCUCACAAAAGAAAAUCCAUCAGACUCAAGGAAAAUGAUUCCAGAUGGAAAUAUGGGUCUACAAAAGGGAGUAAAGAGCAGUAGAAAUUGUAACUAAAUAGGUGAACUCAUAAUAUCUUUUCUUAUUUGAAUAUUUUUAAAAAAUAAUGGACUCUUCGAAAAGUAACAACAAUGUAGUGUGCAUUUUAUAACGUAAAAGUAAAGGUAUAACAAAUAUAGCACAAAGAUCAAGAAGGAAAUAAAAUGUUAUAAUGUAAAGUUGUUAUACUCUACACAAGGGGUAUGAUAUCAUUUGAAGGUGGACUGUGAUAAGUUAGGUAUAUAUUAUAAAACUGGUGUCUACUCAAAUAAUUAAAUGGAAUAUAUAGCUAAUAAGUCAACAAAGGAGAUAAAAUGGUAUAAUAAAUAUUCAGUUAACCCAAAGGAAGUUAAAAAAAGAACAAAGGAACAAAAUAGAAGAAGGAACAAACAGAAAAUGAAUAGAAAGUGAUAGUUUUAAACCUAACUAUAGCACUAAACAUACUAAAUACAAACAGUUUAAUCAUCUAACUUUAAAGGGAAUAUUUUUAAAAUAGGAUUAAAAAAAUCAAGAUCCAACUAUGUGCUGUCUAUAAGAUAUAUUCCUUAAAUAUAAGACACAGGUAGACUGAAAGUAAAAGGAUGGGAGAAGAUAUGUCAUACUAAAACUAAUUUAAAGAAAACUGAAAAGGCUAUAUUAAUAAUCAGAAAAAGUUUAUUUCAGAUAAAAUGAUGUUACAGAUAAAGAAGUUCAUUUCAUAAUUAUUUGAUGAUUUAUUAUGUGUACAUAACCAUGUUAAAUUUUUAUGCACCUCAUAAGAGAGCUUCACAAUAUCUGCAACUAAAUGAAUAGAACUUCAAGUUAAAAUAGUCAAAUAUACAAAUAUAUUUGGAAGUUUCACUACCAUUCUCAACUCUUGUUAAAAUGAGUGGACAAAGUUAAUAAGGAUAUAGGCAAUUUGGUCUGUACUAUCAAUUACCCUAUCUCUAUUUGACACUUAUUAAACACUUUACCCAAGAAUAAUAGAAUUCGCAUUCUUUUCAAGUGUACACAGACGAUUUAUCAACAUCGAUCAUAUUUUGGGUAAUAAAGCAAAUCUUAGUAAGCUUAAAAUGAUUCAGGUUAGUACCUAUUUUCUGAAAAACAAUGUAAUUAAGUUAAAAAUCAGUGAUGGAAUAAUUCUGGAAAAUUGCUAAAUAUUUGUAAACUAAAUAAUGUAAUUCUGUAUAACCAAUUGUUUGAAGAAGAAGUUACAAGAGAAAUUAGAACUUUUUUUUGGACUGAAUAAAAAUAAAAAUACAACAUAUCAAAAUUUGUGGGGUGCACUAAAGCAAUACUGAGAAAAAAUUUAUAGCAUUAAGUACACAUAUUAGAAAACAAGAGAUGUCUCAGUGACACUAACUUCCAUAUUAAGAAAUCUAAAAUGCUGGAAUUCCCAUCAUGGUGCAGUGGAAAGGAAUCCGACUAGGACCAUGAGGUUGCAGGUUUGAUCCCUGGCCUCACUCAGUGGGUUAAGGAUCUGGCAUUUCCGUAAGCUGUGGUGUAGGUCACAGACACAGCUCAGAUCCUGCUUUGCUGUGGCUGUGGUAUAGGCUGGUAGCUAUGAUUCAACCCCUAGCCUGGGAACUUCCACAUGCUGUGGGUGUAGCCCUAAAAAGCAAAACAAAAACAAAAACAAAAAAAACAAAUCUAAAACGCAGGGCAAGUUAAACCAAGUGUAAUUAGAAAACAAAAAAUUUAUAAAAGCCUGAGAAGCAAGCAAUGAAACAGAAACAAAAAAGCAGUAAAGAAAAUCAAUACAUCUAAAGCUGUUUUUUAAGAAUAGCGAUACAUAUGAUAAACCUCUAGCUUGACUGACCAAGAACAAAGGAGAGAAGACAAAUUACCAAUAUGCAAAAUGAAAGUAGUGACAUUAGCACAGAGUCUAUAGGUAUUAAAAUAUAGUAAAAGAAUAUUAUGAACAUCAUUAUACCAGUAAUUUGAUGACUUAGUUGAAAGGAGCAAAUUCCAUGAAAGCCACAAAGUACCAAAACUCACUGAAGAGGAGAUGGAUAAUGUGAAUAGCUUGCUCUUUUGUCCCACUUUAUUUAUCACAAUUUUAUUAAAAAUUUUUGAUCUUCUGGAUAUUAGUAUAUUUUUGCAAACAACUCCCCCAUGUUUUGUCUUACUCUUUUCACACUGUUAGUGUUUCUAGCGAAAAAAACAUCAACUUUAGUGAAGUCAAAUUUCCCAACCUUAUGCUUUAUGCUUUUUUUGUGUAAUGUUUCAGAAAUCUUUCACAACAAGAUAAUGAAGAUAUUUUCCAAUGUUAUUUCAAGAUACUUUAUUAUUUUCACAUUUAUAUUUACAACUAUAUGCAAAUAAUUUGAUGUAUAGUAAUUGAUGGAAGUCUACCUGCCCCUUCCCCCAGUGUACAAUUGUCUUCAUCAACACCAUUUAUUAUUUUCUUUUUCCUCUACACUUGAGACAAUAAAGAAAGAAGAAAGAUAAAGAAA